RNAcentral lists this ribosomal RNA (756 nucleotides) under Triticum aestivum (bread wheat). Its description in RNAcentral is "partial small subunit ribosomal RNA". The record is from RNAcentral. Lineage: Eukaryota; Viridiplantae; Streptophyta; Magnoliopsida; Poales; Poaceae.
AUGCCGCCGCGACCGAAGACGGAGAAAACGGGGCUUCGCCGCCGCCGGCGAGAGGAUGCGCUGCAUCACGUCGUCCAUACUGCGGCGGAGGUAGGCGUGGACGACGUGGCGCUGGCGCAGCACGCCGUCGAGGUCGAUCCUAACGCGGAGACCCAGGCGGGGCGGGGCUUGGAUGCGCCGCCGCCCGACCUCGUCGUUGGUGGGCACGCAGAGCUCGGCGUCGACGAUGGGGCGCUCGUCGAGCAUGGCGUCGAGGUCGAUCCUGACGCGGAGACCCAGGCGGAGCUCGGCUUGGAGGUGCCAGCGCACGCAGAGCUCGUCGUUGGUGAUGCGACUCGGGGUACUCAGGGCAUGGGUCCGGACCUUGGCGCGCUGCUGCACAAGGUGGAGGCUCUCAUGAACGACGUUGAUGCGCUCGUCGACGCGGUCGCGGCGUUCGUCGACCGGGUCGCGGGUAUGAACGGCAUGGAGGAGGAGGAUGGCUUCGCUGCGUUGCUUGACGCGGUCGUGGAGUUCGUCGGCCGGGUCGCGCGUGUCCGUGCCAUGAAGGAGCGCUUCGCUCGGCCAAGAUCGACAGGGUCUGUGGGCAAUGGCUUUCCUCGGCCAAGAUGGAUGUUGGCCUUGGAUGAAGAAGAAGUGAUAAUAACACCUGAAAUGCUAGGUUCGUGCACGCGCCCUGGUCUUGAUGCAAUGAUGAACUAUAUGAAGAGGCGGCUGGAAUCAAUUGAAAAGAAAAAACAAAAGGAAGAGAUGUGA